Molecule: transfer RNA, 77 nt
Filed under: Caudoviricetes sp.
Lineage: Duplodnaviria; Heunggongvirae; Uroviricota; Caudoviricetes
Description: tRNA-Glu
Rfam family: tRNA
About the family: Transfer RNA (tRNA) molecules are approximately 80 nucleotides in length.
Source: RNAcentral
GGUGCCAUCGACUAAUUGGCUAGGUCACGACCCUUUCACGGUCGUAAUGUUGGGUUCAAGUCCCACUGGCAUCUCCA